This 687-nucleotide ribosomal RNA is filed under the name uncultured bacterium. Its description in RNAcentral is "bacterial SSU rRNA". It matches the Rfam family "Bacterial small subunit ribosomal RNA", at positions 100 to 802 of the family's 1533-position model. The record is from RNAcentral.
GAACGGGUGAGUAACCGUGGGUGAUCUGCCCUGCACUUUGGGAUAAGCCUGGGAAACUGGGUCUAAUACCGAAUAGGACCGCGCGCUUCAUGGUGUGUGGUGGAAAGCUUUUGCGGUGUGGGAUGGGCNNNCGGCCUAUCAGCUUGUUGGUGGGGUAAUGGCCUACCAAGGCGACGACGGGUAGCCGGCCUGAGAGGGUGACCGGCCACACUGGGACUGAGAUACGGCCCAGACUCCUACGGGAGGCAGCAGUGGGGAAUAUUGCACAAUGGGCGCAAGCCUGAUGCAGCGACGCCGCGUGAGGGAUGACGGCCUUCGGGUUGUAAACCUCUUUCAAUAGGGACGAAGCGCAAGUGACGGUACCUAUAGAAGAAGCACCGGCCAACUACGUGCCAGCAGCCGCGGUAAUACGUAGGGUGCGAGCGUUGUCCGGAAUUACUGGGCGUAAAGAGCUCGUAGGUGGUUUGUCGCGUUGUUCGUGAAAACUCACAGCUUAACUGUGGGCGUGCGGGCGAUACGGGCAGACUAGAGUACUGCAGGGGAGACUGGAAUUCCUGGUGUAGCGGUGGAAUGCGCAGAUAUCAGGAGGAACACCGGUGGCGAAGGCGGGUCUCUGGGCAGUAACUGACGCUGAGGAGCGAAAGCGUGGGGAGCGAACAGGAUUAGAUACCCUGGUAGUCCACGCCG